RNAcentral lists this transfer RNA (75 nucleotides) under Rhodospirillaceae bacterium. RNAcentral describes it as "tRNA-Gln". It matches the Rfam family "tRNA". Rfam says of the family: Transfer RNA (tRNA) molecules are approximately 80 nucleotides in length. Their secondary structure includes four short double-helical elements and three loops (D, anti-codon, and T loops). Further hydrogen bonds mediate the characteristic L-shaped molecular structure. tRNAs have two regions of fundamental functional importance: the anti-codon, which is responsible for specific mRNA codon recognition, and the 3' end, to which the tRNAs corresponding amino acid is attached (by aminoacyl-tRNA synthetases). tRNAs cope with the degeneracy of the genetic code in two manners: having more than one tRNA (with a specific anti-codon) for a particular amino acid; and 'wobble' base-pairing, i.e. permitting non-standard base-pairing at the 3rd anti-codon position. Lineage: Bacteria; Pseudomonadati; Pseudomonadota; Alphaproteobacteria; Rhodospirillales; Rhodospirillaceae. The record is from RNAcentral. RNAcentral also lists the same sequence under 1 other name.
UGGGGUGUAGCCAAGCGGUAAGGCAGCGGUUUUUGGUACCGUGUACCGGAGGUUCGAAUCCUCCCACCCCAGCCA